GAAAUGCGAUAAGUAAUGUGAAUUGCAGAAUUCAGUGAAUCAUCGAAUCUUUGAACGCACCUUGCGCUCCUUGGUAUUCCUUGGAGCAUGCCUGUUUGAGUAUCAUGAAAUCUUCAAAGUAAAUCUUUUGUUAACUCAAUUGGUUUCUACUUUGGUAUUGGAGGUCUUUGCAGCUUCACACCUGCUCCUCUUUGUUCAUUAGCUGGAUCUCAGUGUUAUGCUUGGUUCCACUCGGCGUGAUAAGUUAUCUAUCGCUGAGGACACUGUAAAAGGUGGCCAAGGUAAAUGCAGAUGAACCGCUUCUAAUAGUCCAUUGACUUGGACAAUACUUUUAUGAUCUGAUCUCAAAUCAGGUAGGACUACCCGCUGAACCUAAGC
RNAcentral lists this unclassified non-coding RNA (378 nucleotides) under plant metagenome. Its description in RNAcentral is "partial contains 5.8S ribosomal RNA, internal transcribed spacer 2, and large subunit ribosomal RNA". The stretch from base 1 to 105 matches the Rfam family "5.8S ribosomal RNA", at positions 50 to 154 of the family's 154-position model. The record is from RNAcentral.